This 375-nucleotide ribosomal RNA is filed under the name uncultured organism. RNAcentral's name for it is "partial 16S ribosomal RNA". It matches the Rfam family "Bacterial small subunit ribosomal RNA", at positions 528 to 897 of the family's 1533-position model. The record is from RNAcentral.
GAGGUGGCAAGCGUUGUCCGGGAAUUAUUGGGGCGUAAAGCGCGCGCAGGCGGUUCUUUAAGUCUGAUGUGAAAGCCCACGGGCUCAACCGUGGAGGGUCAUUGGAAACUGGAGAACUUGAGUACAGAAGAGGAAAGCGGAAUUCCACGUGUAGCGGUGAAAUGCGUAGAGAUGUGGAGGAACACCAGUGGCGAAGGCGGCUUUCUGGUCUGUAACUGACGCUGAGGCGCGAAAGCGUGGGGAGCAAACAGGAUUAGAUACCCUGGUAGUCCACGCCGUAAACGAUGAGUGCUAAGUGUUAGGGGGUUUCCGCCCCUUAGUGCUGCAGCUAACGCACUAAGCACUCCGCCUGGGGAGUACGGCCGCAAAGGCUGA